This 558-nucleotide ribosomal RNA is filed under the name Stenotrophomonas maltophilia group sp. RNC7. Its description in RNAcentral is "partial 23S ribosomal RNA". It matches the Rfam family "Bacterial large subunit ribosomal RNA", at positions 2361 to 2925 of the family's 2925-position model. The record is from RNAcentral. Lineage: Bacteria; Pseudomonadati; Pseudomonadota; Gammaproteobacteria; Lysobacterales; Lysobacteraceae.
AAGGGAGCUUGACUGCGAGACCUACAAGUCGAGCAGGGACGAAAGUCGGGCUUAGUGAUCCGGUGGUACCGCAUGGAAGGGCCAUCGCUCAACGGAUAAAAGCUACCCUGGGGAUAACAGGCUUAUCUCCCCCAAGAGUCCACAUCGACGGGGAGGUUUGGCACCUCGAUGUCGGCUCAUCGCAUCCUGGGGCUGAAGUAGGUCCCAAGGGUUGGGCUGUUCGCCCAUUAAAGCGGUACGCGAGCUGGGUUCAGAACGUCGUGAGACAGUUCGGUCCCUAUCUGUCGCGGGCGCAGGAAAUUUGAGAGGAGCUGUCCUUAGUACGAGAGGACCGGGAUGGACGUACCGCUGGUGUACCAGUUGUCUCGCCAGAGGCAUAGCUGGGUAGCCAAGUACGGAAGGGAUAAGCGCUGAAAGCAUCUAAGCGUGAAGCCCCCCUCAAGAUGAGAUUUCCCACAUUGGUAAGACCCCUUGAAGACGACGAGGUAGAUAGGUUGGAGGUGGAAGUGCAGCAAUGCAUGGAGCUGACCAAUACUAAUCGGUCGAGGGCUUAUCCUA